CGACCUGAAAGAUAAGCUUCUUAUUUAGCGCACUCUAGGAAUAUAAAUCUAAUUGUGCAUUGUAAUAAUCUAUCUGGAAUGUAAAAAUGAAUUAACACACAAAUAUGUAUCUACGAGCAAUGUCUUUGAAACGAGCCAUUCUACUUGUUCGUGAAUCGAUUGGUCGACUUUUAGGUCGGUUUCAGGAUUGAAACUAGGCUAGUGCAAGGUCCUUGCUGACGUUAUAAAGCGAUUCACGUGGAAAGAGAGAGACCCAUCGAGGAUAUCUCUGCCUCCCACUUCCUAAAAAAUAUCGCAGUUAUUCGAAGAAGUUCUCGUAAAAGAGAAAAUAUACGACGCGGAAUCGAUUUGGAGGAGUCGAAGACGAGAGGCGCAUCGGAAAUGAAAUUGACGGUAUUAAAGAAGGCUUAACGCUUUACACGAGCGUGGCGUUCUAAUUAUAGCCAAGAGACCUCUCUGGCGUUGCCAUAUGGAGCACGUACGGGCAGAGCGCAAAGGGUUAAACAACAGGCAUCGUCCAAGCGUGGCGCUUCCCGUAGCCGAUUGGCAUUCAGCGAGGAUCGGCCGAUCCACCGGCCAUUAAUUGCCCAUUAUAUCGUAACGUGGGUGGGCCGCGGACUGCAAUAUCCACCGCUCCUGCCUCCCCUGUCCUUCCUUCUGCCCGACGUCCUCGUCCGAUGCGAGCAAUGGGAACGAUAUCCAGCGAUGAUAUCCAUCAACGGAUGUUUCCACUUCAAGAAAAGAAAAUUCGACGAAACGCUACCUGUGAGAGACGAGAGACAGAAACCUGUUUCGGCUUCUUCGGAGUUUGGGAUCUCAAGGCUUGUAUGUCGAUGUCGGCUCGAUCCCAUCGCUAGCGACUCGCAUAAAUAUAUAGGGACGGAGGAGGCAUGGAUUUAAUGGAAUGGUGCGGCGCGACCGGUCGUGCCGUCGUCGUCGUCCAUCGCGUGUAUAUAUUGUGUUCCAGCGGCCGUGCUCACGUGACACUCGGAUAGAUUUGCGUCAAUGGUGACCUCCGUGCGGCUCGCUCCGCGGCCACGCAUACCACGCUGCCGUGCCGCUGCACGCGUACAAUACUCGCGUGGCGUGGGACCGCCGACGAGCGAGAGAGCAGCGUGAGAGAAAGAGAGAGAGAGGAAGAGAAAGAGAAGAAAUAUUUUUCGUUUUUUUUUUUCUUCGGGAUUAAAUCUUUUCUUACAGCCGAAAACUGUAUAUUUCUAUAUAUAAUGUAACGUUUGCUGGCGCAAAUAGCGAGUAGUCGGUCGAUCGUUUAUUCUCGAAUCUUUAUUUUGAUCA
Molecule: long non-coding RNA, 1296 nt
Organism: Camponotus floridanus (Florida carpenter ant)
Lineage: Eukaryota; Metazoa; Arthropoda; Insecta; Hymenoptera; Formicidae
Exons: 3
Source: RefSeq, a predicted model, not a curated record